CCUACGGGUGGCAGCAGUGAGGAAUAUUGGUCAAUGGCCGGAAGGCUGAACCAGCCAAGCCGCGUGAAGGACGAAGGUGCCAAGCAUUGUAAACUUCUUUUGUCAAGGGACAAAAUCAUGCUCGAGAGCCUGUCCGAGGGUACUUGAAGAAAAAGCAUCGGCUAACUCCGUGCCAGCAGCCGCGGUAAUACGGAGGAUGCGAGCGUUAUCCGGAUUUAUUGGGUUUAAAGGGUGCGUAGGCGGUCUGUUAAGUCAGCGGUAAAAGCCCGGGGCUCAACCCCGGCGAGCCGUUGAAACUGGCGGUCUUGAGAGGGCGAGAGGUAUGCGGAAUGCGCGGUGUAGCGGUGAAAUGCUUAGAUAUGGCGCAGAACUCCGAUUGCGAAGGCAGCAUACCGGCGGCGAUCUGACGCUGAGGCACGAAAGCGUGGGUAUCGAACAGGAUUAGAUACCCGUGUAGUC
RNAcentral lists this ribosomal RNA (459 nucleotides) under uncultured bacterium. RNAcentral describes it as "partial 16S ribosomal RNA". It matches the Rfam family "Bacterial small subunit ribosomal RNA", at positions 338 to 795 of the family's 1533-position model. The record is from RNAcentral.